RNAcentral lists this non-coding RNA (24 nucleotides) under Cricetulus griseus (Chinese hamster). Lineage: Eukaryota; Metazoa; Chordata; Mammalia; Rodentia; Cricetidae. The record is from RNAcentral.
GUGCUGCUAGAGAAAGGAAGGCAA